AUUGAACGCUGGCGGCAUGCCUUACACAUGCAAGUCGAACGGCAGCACGGGAGCAAUCCUGGUGGCGAGUGGCGAACGGGUGAGUAAAGUAUCGGAACGUGCCCAGUCGUGGGGGAUAACGUAGCGAAAGUUACGCUAAUACCGCAUACGAACUAUGGAUGAAAGCGGGGGAUGGCAAGACCUCGCGCGAUUGGAGCGGCCGAGAUCAGAUUAGGUAGUUGGUGAGGUAAAGGCUCACCAAGCCGACGAUCUGUAGCUGGUCUGAGAGGACGACCAGCCACACUGGAACUGAGACACGGCCCAGACUCCUACGGGAGGCAGCAGUGGGGAAUUUUGGACAAUGGGCGCAAGCCUGAUCCAGCCAUGCCGCGUGCAGGAUGAAGGCCUUCGGGUUGUAAACUGCUUUUGUACGGAACGAAAAGGUUUGACUUAAUACGUUGGACUCAUGACGGUACCGUAAGAAUAAGCACCGGCUAACUACGUGCCAGCCGCCGCGGUAA
RNAcentral lists this ribosomal RNA (500 nucleotides) under uncultured bacterium. RNAcentral's name for it is "partial 16S ribosomal RNA". It matches the Rfam family "Bacterial small subunit ribosomal RNA", at positions 30 to 523 of the family's 1533-position model. The record is from RNAcentral.